GGAUAGGCUGGUUUUUACAAACAUAAAAUCUUUAUCCUCCCUCUCCACUUCAGGUGCAUCCUUCCUGAAGAUGCACACUCAGUGGAAGAGGACGAUGUUCCUUGAGAGAGGAGGACUGUUCUUUAGUCAAGGGUCCUUCAAUGAAUGAGUAGCUGUGUCCCCAGUUAGAACCUCGGAACAAGCUCUCAAAUAUAAAAUCUUUUAAACUUUUUUCUCCUCAAACUUUUCACACUUU
Otolemur garnettii (small-eared galago) is the source of this 235-nucleotide non-coding RNA. The record is from Rfam. Lineage: Eukaryota; Metazoa; Chordata; Mammalia; Primates; Galagidae.